CCUACGGGAGGCAGCAGUGGGGGAUAUUGCACAAUGGGGGAGACCCUGAUGCAGCGACGCAGCGUGAGUGAAGAAGUAUUUCGGUAUGUAAAGCUCUAUCAGUAGGGAAGAAAAUGACAGUACCUGUCCAUGAAGCCCCGUCUAACUACGGGACAGAAGCCGCGGUAAUGCGUAGGCAGCCAGCGUUAUCCGGAUUUACUGGGUGUAAAGGGAGCGUAGAUGGUUAUGUAAGUCUGGAGUGAAAGUCUGAGGCCCAACCCUGGAAUUGCAUUUGAAACUGUGUAACUGGAGUACAGGAGGGGCAGGCGGAAUUCCUGGUGUAGCGGUGAAAUGCGUAGAUAUCAGGAGGAACCCCGGUGGCGAAGGCGGCCUGCUGGACUGAAACUGACGUUGAGGCUCGAAAGUGUGGGGAGCAAACAGGAUUAGAUACCCUAGUAGUC
RNAcentral lists this ribosomal RNA (440 nucleotides) under uncultured bacterium. RNAcentral describes it as "partial 16S ribosomal RNA". It matches the Rfam family "Bacterial small subunit ribosomal RNA", at positions 338 to 795 of the family's 1533-position model. The record is from RNAcentral.